This 429-nucleotide ribosomal RNA is filed under the name uncultured bacterium. RNAcentral describes it as "bacterial SSU rRNA". It matches the Rfam family "Bacterial small subunit ribosomal RNA", at positions 355 to 776 of the family's 1533-position model. The record is from RNAcentral.
UGGGGAAUCUUGGACAAUGGGGGCAACCCUGAUCCAGCGAUGCCGCGUGGGUGAAGAAGGCCUUCGGGUUGUAAAGCCCUUUAGGUUGGGAAGAAGUGUACUGACUGAAUAAGUCGGUAUGUUGACUGUACCAACAGAAUAAGCACCGGCAAACUCUGUGCCAGCAGCCGCGGUAAUACAGAGGGUGCGAGCGUUAAUCGGAGUUACUGGGCGUAAAGGGCGCGUAGGCGGUAAGGAAGGUGUGGUGUGAAAGCCCCGGGCUUAACCUGGGAAGCGCAUCGCAAACCAGCUUGCUAGAGUACAAGAGAGGGUGGCGGAAUUUCCGGUGUAGCGGUGAAAUGCGUAGAGAUCGGAAGGAACGUCGAUGGCGAAGGCAGCCACCUGGCUUGAUACUGACGCUGAAGCGCGAAAGCGUGGGGAGCGAACAGG